This is a long non-coding RNA of Tigriopus californicus, 1018 nucleotides long. RefSeq lists it as uncharacterized. The record is from RefSeq and is a predicted model, not a curated record. NCBI's taxonomy places the organism in Eukaryota, Metazoa, Arthropoda, Copepoda, Harpacticoida, Harpacticidae. The transcript is spliced from 3 exons.
GCCUUCUCACCUGGACCAAUUGUAAUCCUUCCUACACAAAAGCUUACAACUCCCUUCCCUUCAUGUUCUGAAAGAGGAUCAAUAGGUUUCCGACAAAGAAAAUGGAUCCGGCAUGCAAUCAACACAAUAACAGGCAUCGUGGGAAUUGAAGAGAAAUCAAAAUCAAAACCAGAUAUCAUCUUACAACGAAAGGAGACCAACCUUGAUUGGAUAUGUUACCUACUUCGAGUCCAAAUGUCACCAAGACCGAAAAUCGAUUUGUCCAUUGAUCACUUGUAAGUGCCGUAAAAUAUUCAAGAGCUAAUUUCCUUUGUUCAUCUUAGAUGUGUAAAUAUUAACAGGAUACUUGUAGGAUUUGAUUGAGCCGAGGAAUUCGUUGAUUGGUCAUGUCACUGAUUGUGACACGAACUCCUCCGAACCUCUCAUUCACCUCUAGCCAAGACUCCACAAUCCUUUUCCACAAUCUACCUUUUUAUCCUAUGCAGUAUAGCAGUCAGGGAAGAAUGAAUUGUGAGGGGCGUUCCCUGAGGAGCCACCCAUUUCUGAAGAAGAAGAAGAACAACCCUUCGUCUUCAAAUUUCCCAUAGGAUUGUGUCUUGAUAACCCUAGGAAUAUCAAGUGAAUAAAAUGGACCAAGUUUUUUUUUAUUUCCCCCCAAAAUGCACAGACAGAGGAACGAGGGAUCCAGAAACAGAUGGAAACCGUGCCAUUUCAUCCCUAACAUGUGUGUGUAUAGGAUCCAGGCACUACGCUGCAAUGGUUCCCAAGCCUCCCAACACCCGUCAAACUUGAAUGUAGCUGUUUUCUUACUGUUCCAUUGUUUGACGGAUCCAGUUCACACAUUGGGGUGUUUGACGUGGGUCGGCAUUAGUUUCCCGAGCUUUUAUAACGUCUCGUCGUUCUAUAUGAGUGCCUACCCACAAUUUAUUGUAGCACUAUUACUCCUUGCACCUCGGGGAAAAACUUCCUGUGAAAGCGUCACCUCAAAUGUGUCAGAAAUGAUGAAAGAUUGUCAAAA